GACGAACGCUGGCGGCGUGCUUAACACAUGCAAGUCGAACGGAAAGGCCCUGCUUUUGUGGGGUGCUCGAGUGGCGAACGGGUGAGUAACACGUGAGUAACCUGCCCUUGACUUUGGGAUAACUUCAGGAAACUGGGGCUAAUACCGGAUAGGAGCUCCUGCUGCAUGGUGGGGGUUGGAAAGUUUCGGCGGUUGGGGAUGGACUCGCGGCUUAUCAGCUUGUUGGUGGGGUAGUGGCUUACCAAGGCUUUGACGGGUAGCCGGCCUGAGAGGGUGACCGGCCACAUUGGGACUGAGAUACGGCCCAGACUCCUACGGGAGGCAACAGUGGGGAAUAUUGCACAAUGGGCGGAAGCCUGAUGCAGCAACGCCGCGUGCGGGAUGACGGCCUUCGGGUUGUAAACCGCUUUCGCCUGUGACGAAGCGUGAGUGACGGUAAUGGGGAAAGAAGCACCGGCUAACUACGU
RNAcentral lists this ribosomal RNA (467 nucleotides) under uncultured bacterium. RNAcentral describes it as "partial 16S ribosomal RNA". It matches the Rfam family "Bacterial small subunit ribosomal RNA", at positions 28 to 506 of the family's 1533-position model. The record is from RNAcentral.